Non-coding RNA from Picea glauca (white spruce), 119 nucleotides. NCBI's taxonomy places the organism in Eukaryota, Viridiplantae, Streptophyta, Pinopsida, Pinales, Pinaceae. The record is from Rfam.
GGGUGUGAUCAUACCAGCGUUAAUGCACCUGAUCCCAUCAGAACUCCACAGUUAAGUGCGCUUGGGCCACAGUAGUACUGGGAUGGGUGACCUCCCGGGAAGUCGUGGUGUUGCACCCU